This is a non-coding RNA of Podarcis lilfordi (Lilford's wall lizard), 4768 nucleotides long. The record is from the annotation of a GenBank genome assembly. NCBI's taxonomy places the organism in Eukaryota, Metazoa, Chordata, Lepidosauria, Squamata, Lacertidae.
AGGCUGUUAGAUGUCUCAACAGUUACAGCUCCUGAUUCUUGCUGUUAACUGUCCUUUCCUGUAUACAUAAAAACCAACCCUCCUAGUGUCCUCAGAGCCAAUCAGGUGUGUUAUGUGAACAACCUCAGACUUUUAGGAAAGGUGGGGUAUAUGGCUGCAGCACUACAUAUGCUUACUUGGGAGCCAGUCCUACGGUGGAGCUUGCUUCUGAGUUGUUGUUUAGUCAUUUAGUCGUGUCCGACUCUUCGUGACCCCAUGGACCAGAGCACGCCAGGCACUCUUGUCUUCCACUGCCUCCCACAGUUUGGUCAAACUCAUGCUGGUAGCUUCGAGAACACUGUCCAACUAUCUCGUCCUCUGUCGUCCCCUUCUCCUUGUGCCCAAAUCUUUCUCAACAUCAGGGUCUUUUCCAGGGAGCCUUCUCUUCUCAUGAGGUGGCCAAAGUAUUGGAGUCUCAGCUUCACGAUCUGUCCUUCCAGUGAGCACUCAGGGCUGAUUUCCUUCAGAAUGCAGAGGUUUGAUCUUCUUGCAGUCCAUGGGACUCUCAAGAGUCUCCUCCAGCACCAUAAUUCAAAAGCAUCAAUUCUUUGGCGAUCAGCCUUCUUUAUGGUCCAGCUCUCACUUCCAUACAUCACUGCUGGGAAAACCAUAGCUUUAACUAUACGGACCUGUACUAAUUCACACUGAUAGCUGGUUAAAAAACAAUGUGGUCUAGGUCUGCCAUCAUCCCACACAUUGGUUUUGUUCCCAUGUAAUUGUAAGAUAAACCAUAAUAACCUAAAAAGAGCUGCCUGGAUCAGGCCAGUGUCUCAUCUAGUCCAGCAUUCUCUUCUUACUGUGGCCAACCAGAGUCUGCCAGCAUGACCUGAGUCAAGAGCAUUGUCCCCUCCUGUGGUUUUUAGUAACUGAUAUUCCAAAGCAUACUGCCUCCGACCUUGUGGGCAGGCAUAGCCAUCUCAAGUAGCAGCCAUUGGUAGCUGUAUCUUCUCUGAAUUUGCCCAGUUCUCCAUUGAAGUUGGUGGUAAUUGAAGUAAGAAAGCCUGUUGAAGGGAGGGAAGAAAGUCAAUGCUCAGCAGAGUGUGGGGAAAGAAUGUGGGUAAACGACUGUUAAAUUUCACUGUAUUUUGUUUGUAUUAAAGGAAAAACCAAUAAAAAGCAUUUACAAAAAAAGAAGAAGAGGUUGGUGGCUAUUGCUGCCUUCUGUGGGGCCAACUUCUAUACUGCUGUGUGAAGACCAUGGCUUACUUAGAGUGAAUGUGCUGGCUUACAGGGAGGAGAUUGCAGCUGCUUUGCUCGUUCCCAGUCCUUUUAGCUCAGUGUGGCAUGGAAGUCAGGGAUGUCCCAUCCUGUUUUGACACUUGAGGCAAAUUGUGAAUGUAUUGCUCCCUGUCCUCCCCCCCUCAAUGCCCCCGUCUUGCCAAACCGGGCCGGAGAAGAUGAGCGGUGGUGCUGUGCUCAGGCACACCACCUCUCACCAAACUCGGCAAGAGCUGUGGCAUUCCACAAGGUGUUGCUGCUUGUUGGAAUCUCUCCCUUUUGCUGGUGAGACAGGCAUUCCGACAGUGGUGGCACCACCUCUUGUACUUCUGCCACCUGAGGCAGGUGCUUCACCAUGCCUCAUCGGUGGGCCGGCUCUGAUGGCAGUUAAACCAAGGUUUGGUUUAGCAUGCCACUCAAACCUGGGGUAGUGGUUAUGCACUGUUUUCCUUAACUGAACAAGGUGUGUUCUUGGUUACUAAUAAUUGCUAAGGAAUAGAACUUAACCGUGAUCCUAGGUUCAGAUGGCACACUCAGGCUCACCUCAGCAUUGCCCUGAGCUCAAAGGAAAGUGGCAGAGCAAAACAGGUGUGAGCUCCUCUCUGGGUGUCUCUUUACACUCUUUCUUUACACAUUCCCUCUUUACACUUUGAGUAACUCUCCUUUCCUCAUUAUGUGGAAAGCAGUUCCAAGAAGACUCUUGGAAGCCACAAAUAAAAACAUCUUGCUUGUCCUUUGCUCCAGUAGAUUGAAUCGUGCUUUAAAAACAAUUAAAUGGGAAAUGUGAGUGUCACAGCAAUUCCUUAACAAAUGAGAUCACAGUUUUUUGUCAGAAGACUGACAACCUGGAGCUAGUUCAAAUGAGUCAGAAUCGUAACCCUUUGCUAGGUUUACAAAAAGAAGAGUCAUAUUUGCAAUAAUGAUACCUUCAAAGGACUAAGAUUAAUAGGUCUUAUAUAAAGCCUAGUGAACGCUGAAUAAAAGUUGCUCUAAUGCUAUUAAAUGGCAAAGGCCCCAAUGAUGCAGAGGGAUGUAAUUUUUCUACAACUCCAUCACAAGGAAGUGUAAUUAAUAGAUGCCAUGUUCUGACAUUAACUUAAUCCAUAGUUUAGUGCUGUGUGGGUGAGCCUCGUAUUGUUUUAUUGUGUUACAAAAGGCAGAUAUUAUAUUGUUUUGACUUGCAAAGGCUUACUACUUCUCUGACAAUUUACAGAAGGAAAUGGUGAUAUUAAACUCUUGUUGUAUAUUUAAAUACGUAAGGGUGCAAUCCAAACCCUGUUUACACUGUACUGUGUGUGUGUUUGAAUUGAGCGAAGGUAUUGGAUGCUCAGAUCCAUCACUAUUGCCCAGAAUUAAAGUAUAGCCCCAUCUUUAAACUGAUUUACAGUGGUACUUCAGGUUAAGUAUUUAAUUCGUUCUGGAGGUCCGUUCUUAACCUUAAACUGUUCUUAACCUGAAGCACCACUUUAGCUAAUGGGGCCUCCUGCUGCCACCGCACUGCCAGAGCCUGAUUUCUGUUCUUACCCUGAAGCAAAGUUCUUAACCUGAAGCACUAUUUCUGGGUUAGAGGAGUGUGUAACCUGAAGCGUAUGUAACCUGAGGUACCACUGAAUGUAAGAGGGCAAUGUUAGCUGGGUUGACCUGCAGUUGAAGGAGAUUGCCUGCUUGUUGUUCUAGGAGCUGAUCAAGACAUUUAAGACACAUCUUUUUUUUUGUAUGAACAAGUAAAACAUGUUUCCACAUUAAUCCAGAAAAACAACUGUGACCCGGCCAUCAGGAAUUUGGAAAAUUUUGCCCUAGCUCUGUUAUGUUUUCUGAAUUCUGUUCUGUUCCAUUUGUACUACUCUUAGAAAGGUUAGGUAGGGACAUGUCAGGCACUGGGCAGAGGAGGAAUGGUGGAGACCACCUCCCCAGCCUGACCCUUCCAGAGAAGAAGAAGACAGUUCAGAAUUACAACAAGGGUUUGAGGGAGGUCACAGCUCAGAGGAAGAUGAGGAAAAAAUACACCCAACUCUCUUUUUCAGGACAUCAUAGUACCAUUUCCUCUACAUUUCUAGAUGUUGAGGUGGUAAAACAGGAUGGAUACUUACUUGUGAAACCUUUCAGAAAACCCACUGAUUGUAAUUCUUUAUUGCAUUAUUCCUCCUUCCAUCCCAGGCAUCUUAAGGAUAACUUACCGUACGGCCAACUAUUGAGAAUUAAGAGGAAUUCCUCAUUACAGAAUGAUUUUUUUAAGUAGAGCUGAUGCCCUGUCCAAUUCUUUACUUUCCAGAGGAUAUCCUAACCGAGUGAUUAAUUUGGUGAAAAAAGAUCCUUAGCUAAGGAUUGCUCAUCACAUUUUUCCCUUACGCCACAAACAUCGUCCAAUACACGGAUCACGGGAUCCUUAGAAUUUACCACGUAUUCAGAUAGGAUCAUUAGGAUCAUAAGAAAACACUGGCAUAUCUUGUGGAAUGUCCAAGGCUGUUCUGAUUUUCUACUUAUUGGCCUUAGAAAAACUCGGUCAAUUAAAGGCAUAUUGGUCCAUUCUGACCUUACAUUGACACGUUCUCCCACUAGUUCCAGCCCGUUGAGUCAUCAUAAAUGGGGUAGAUGUGUAUCUUGUCCUCUUGUUUUACAGACGAAAGAGAUCUAUGAUGAUCACUUUAGCUUUAGAUUUACUACCCGUCAUUUCAGUACGUGUCAGACCAAAGAUGGUAUUAGGGAUACCUAAUAAGAUGCCCUUGCAAUCUGCUUUACAUUGGAUUGACCACACGAGCGGUGAUCCCACAUUAGGAAUCAAGUCAUGGAGGCACCUUUAGUUGAGCACUUUGUAAAACACCAUCAUGCAGAUACAGACCUACUUUACACGGUCCUGUGGGUUAAUCAGAGAAAAUUUGGGAUGAGAGAUCAUGUCAAAUUACUACUAAUUACUACUAACCAACAAGAAACUAAAUUGAUUUACCUAUUUAAAUCCCUGCACCUGGGGGGUUUGAACACUGAAUUAGAUUUUAAUUGUUUUAUUUAAGUUUUUAGACAAGAUGGCUACUGUUUGUGUUCUCUAUCCUAGAUUUUGGAUACUGUAUCUUUAAAUUUCCUGAAAUUGUAUGUGAUUCAGUGCACCUGUGGGUUGCCUUUAUAAUGCUACUAGGAUUCUGCCAACAGUAUCGGCUUACUACACUUUUAAGUGAUAGCUGAUCCAUGGCUAUUUGAUGUACCCGCAGGGACAAUUUAUUUGGUAUGUAUUUAUUAUUGGUUGUUUAUAUGCAGGUCUGUCGUUUCGAUUUCUGUAUUACUUGAAUAUAAUGGAUUUUAUUUCAUAUUAUUGCCAGCUGAUGAAGAAUUAUCAUUGAAACAGUUCAUUAUCCCGGAAGAACUGUUCUGUCUGCUGCUGUGCUCGGAGUACCAUAUUGCUAUGUUUGGAGCACCUAUCACCACACAUUUGCAGGAUGUUGCCUGUGGAAAGGCAUUUUUGCCUCCAUCUUAGUGUUCUUUGAUAGUGACUGAUCACACCUACCAUUUCUGUUUAUUU